Molecule: transfer RNA, 76 nt
Filed under: Fidelibacterota bacterium
Lineage: Bacteria; Pseudomonadati; Fidelibacterota
Description: tRNA-Lys
Rfam family: tRNA
About the family: Transfer RNA (tRNA) molecules are approximately 80 nucleotides in length. Their secondary structure includes four short double-helical elements and three loops (D, anti-codon, and T loops).
Source: RNAcentral
GCCCGUGUAGCUCAGUUGGUAGAGCAGGUGACUCUUAAUCACUUGGUCGGGGGUUCGAAUCCUCCCGCGGGCACAA